CGCGUAGGCGGCCGAUCAAGUCAGGCGUGAAAGCCCCGGGCUCAACCUGGGAAUUGCGCUUGGGACUGGUUGGCUUGAGUUCGGGAGAGGAGAGUGGAAUUCCCAGUGUAGAGGUGAAAUUCGUAGAUAUUGGGAAGAACACCGGUGGCGAAGGCGGCUCUCUGGACCGAGACUGACGCUGAGGCGCGAAAGCGUGGGGAGCAAACAGGAUUAGAUACCCUGGUAGUCCACGCCGUAAACGAUGUGUGCUAGACGUUGGGGAGCCUAGCUCUUCGGUGUCGCCGCAAACGCUUUAAGCACACCGCCUGGGGAGUACGGCCGCAAGGUUAAA
Molecule: ribosomal RNA, 331 nt
Filed under: uncultured bacterium
Lineage: Bacteria
Description: bacterial SSU rRNA
Rfam family: Bacterial small subunit ribosomal RNA
Source: RNAcentral